CAGCACUUCAGUUUCCUAAAAACUUUCUAAAUCUGUUGUUUGAUUCUUGUGCCCUUAUGCCACAAUUUUGGUCAAAGUCUAAACUUUACCCAUCCCUUGUGUUUAGCAUAUAAAGACAUUCAGCUGUUGAAUAAAUAUCAUAAUAAUUGCUGGUAAUGUUAACUUUAUGUGUUGAAGUGUAUUUUGGAGUUCAGUAAAAUGUAUUACCGUGUUUAUUCUGUAGAGGAAUACGUAUGUAGAAGAUCUGAUUGAAGAAGUAGUGGUUGCCCCAGAACAAGUUAUGGAAUGGAUCAGGAAAGGAGAAAGAAAUCGCCAUUAUGGAGAAACAAAAAUGAGUGGACGCAGCAGCCGUUCUCACGCUAUCUUCAGAAUGAUCAUUGAAAGC
Molecule: long non-coding RNA, 385 nt
Organism: Passer montanus (Eurasian tree sparrow)
Lineage: Eukaryota; Metazoa; Chordata; Aves; Passeriformes; Passeridae
Exons: 3
Source: RefSeq, a predicted model, not a curated record